CGGAGGAAAAGAAACCAACAGGGAUUGCCCUAGUAACGGCGAGUGAAGCGGCAACAGCUCAAAUUUGAAAUCUGGCUCUUUCAGAGUCCGAGUUGUAAUUUGCAGAGGGCGCUUUGGCGUUGGCAGCGGUCCAAGUUCUUUGGAACAGGACGUCACAGAGGGUGAGAAUCCCGUACGUGGUCGCUAGCCAUCACCGUGUAAAGCCCCUUCGACGAGUCGAGUUGUUUGGGAAUGCAGCUCUAAAUGGGAGGUAAAUUUCUUCUAAAGCUAAAUACUGGCCAGAGACCGAUAGCGCACAAGUAGAGUGAUCGAAAGAUGAAAAGCACUUUGGAAAGAGAGUCAAAUAGCACGUGAAAUUGUUGAAAGGGAAGCGCUUGCAGCCAGACUUGCCUGUAGUUGCUUACCUAGACUUUUGUCUGGGGCACUCUUCUGCAGGCAGGCCAGCAUCAGUUUGGGCGGUUGGAUAAAGGUCUCUGUCACGUACCUCCCUUCGGGGAGGCCUUAUAGGGGAGACGUAAUGCAACCAGCCUGGACUGAGGUCCGCGCAUCUGCUAGGAUGCUGGCGUAAUGGCUGUAAGCGGCCCGUCUUGAAACACGGACCAAGGAGUCUAACAUCUAUGCGAGUGUUUGGGUGUCAAGCCCAUACGCGUAAUGAAAGUGAACGGAGGUGGGAACCUUAGGGUGCACCAUCGACCGAUCCUGAUGUCUUCGGAUGGAUUUGAGUAAGAGCAUGGCUGUUGGGACCCGAAAGAUGGUGAACUAUGCUUGAAUAGGGUGAAGCCAGAGGAAACUCUGGUGGAGGCUCGCAGCGGUUCUGACGUGCAAAUCGAUCGUCAAAUUUGGGCAUAGGGGCGAAAGACUAAUCGAACUAUCUAGUAGCUGGUUCCUGC
Molecule: ribosomal RNA, 890 nt
Filed under: Edenia gomezpompae
Lineage: Eukaryota; Fungi; Ascomycota; Dothideomycetes; Pleosporales; Pleosporaceae
Description: eukaryotic LSU rRNA
Rfam family: Eukaryotic large subunit ribosomal RNA
Source: RNAcentral